Long non-coding RNA from Myotis davidii, 95 nucleotides. RefSeq lists it as uncharacterized. The record is from RefSeq and is a predicted model, not a curated record. The transcript is spliced from 3 exons. Lineage: Eukaryota; Metazoa; Chordata; Mammalia; Chiroptera; Vespertilionidae.
AUACAAGUGCUUUGAAAAGUGCAAGAAUAGUGAUGCUGGUAAUUCAGAUAUUCCAAAGAAAAGCUGUAAAGUGCUUCAUUUAAGUGAAAGGUUUU